RNAcentral lists this ribosomal RNA (229 nucleotides) under uncultured bacterium. RNAcentral's name for it is "partial 16S ribosomal RNA". It matches the Rfam family "Bacterial small subunit ribosomal RNA", at positions 568 to 796 of the family's 1533-position model. The record is from RNAcentral.
UGCGCAGGCGGAAACUUAAGUCAGAGGUGAAAUCCUGCAGCUCAACUGUAGAAUUGCCUUUGAUACUGGUUAUCUUGAGUUAUUAUGAAGUAGUUAGAAUAUGUAGUGUAGCGGUGAAAUGCAUAGAUAUUACAUAGAAUACCAAUUGCGAAGGCAGAUUACUAAUAAUCAACUGACACUGAUGGACGAAAGCGUGGGGAGCGAACAGGAUUAGAUACCCUGGUAGUCC